This 301-nucleotide unclassified non-coding RNA is filed under the name Hevea brasiliensis (rubber tree). The record is from RNAcentral. Lineage: Eukaryota; Viridiplantae; Streptophyta; Magnoliopsida; Malpighiales; Euphorbiaceae.
AGUUGCAUUCCAUUCAAGGACAAUCUUGGAGAAGUGAUCAGAUGGGCAAUGCGAGGGACGGGUAUAGUUUGCAAGAACGGGAGGUUUGCCAUAGGUAUAGCCAAAAUCAUGUUGGAGAACGGUGUAUGCACAAGGUUUAACCUUGGGGACAUUGAUGGGUUUAGUUACUUCAAAGUAAACAGUUAGUGGUGUGUCAUUGAGGGGUUUGGGAGCAAGAGUGGAGGAGGGUUCAGCAAGGAGAUUUGAUUUGAGGAGGUUGUUGGCCUUGUGAAUGUUAGCUGUGGAGGGGACAGGGUGGAGG